UAUGUUUGAAUUUGCCCUGUAUUCAUCCAAAUAAAGUCGUAGAAAGGUUGACUGGGUAUAUCGCUAACUCUCUAGGGUACGCUGCCUUCUCCUUUCUGUGUUUUCGCGUUACUUUAAGGCAAACCCAACAGAAAAGUGUUCGCCGCUCUGUUUUAAUUUUUAGUUUAGGAUAUGGCAGAAGAGGUAGAGUACCGCUGUUUUAUUGGUGGUCUUUCAUGGUCUACAUCUGAUAGAGGCCUGAAAGAGGCAUUUGAAAAGUUUGGUCAUCUUCUUGAGGCCAAGGUAGUUGUUGACAAGUUCUCUGGACGAUCUCGUGGAUUUGGAUUUGUCACUUUUGAUGAGAAGAAAGCAAUGGAAGAUGCUAUUGAAGCAAUGAAUGGAAUGGACUUAGAUGGGCGAACUAUUACUGUUGAUAAAGCCCAGCCUCACCAAGGUUCAGGCAGAGAUCAUGAUGGUGAUCGCAACCGUGAGCGUGGGAGGGAUCGUGAUCAGAACCGUGACAUUGGAGGCAGACGCACAGGUGGUGGUGGGGAGUGCUUUAAGUGUGGUAAGCCUGGACAUUUUGCUAGGGAGUGUCCAAGUGAAGGGGCAAGAGGAGGUCGGUAUGGGGGCAGAGAUGAGAGGUAUAGUGGUGGUGGCGGUGGCGGUGGCGGUGGUGGUGGGGGGGGUCGUUAUGGUCCUGAUCGAAAUGGAGAUCGAUUUGGUGGCCGUAACAGGGAUGCUGGCAACCGUGGAAAUCCAGGAACUGAUCGAUAUAAUCGUGACCGGUCUGGACCAUAUGAACGUCGCGGUUCGGGAGGAUUUCGUGCUGCAUAGAAGUACUCCUGAUUGUGAUCUUAUGCUUGCUUGACAUGCGCAUUCGAGUUGGGUCUUAUUCUCUUUGAAUGCCAUCACUGCUGCUGGGUUACUUUUGACUUUUAUACAUAAGCAGCUUUGAAACUAUUAUCACCACCUUGCCUAGGCAAUUACAGUAAUGAGAGGUGUUUUGCUGUUGGAUGGGCAUUUGGAGUACUAAUGGUGAGUGUCCCAUCAUUGGGAGUGUGCCUUUUCCUACUGAGGAACAGAAGCUGUCUGAUACAUAGAUGAUUAUUUGGGUUACCCUGUUUUUCAGUGUCUUGUUAUAUUGGAUGUGAUCGGGAUGCGUGGCUAUUUAUGGCCUUUUUGGAUGCAUGAUUGGGUUUCUUUGUUGCUAAUUGGACAUCAUUUUUUAACUAGUGAAAGUCCUUUGGGCUGCCACGAGCUAUCUACGAUUUUACUGAAAUAUAGGCCACUAUCAUGUUCUACACGGCGUAUGGAUGAAAAACAUGCAAGAGUUCCAUUCGUUAUAGACACUUGUUAGGUUGUUCGAAGCUCUUAACGAGUUCUGCAACUACUGUCUUCUGUUUCGUUGUCUCAUGGAUGCUUGUUCUGUACUUCUUGGGUAGAGGAUUCUUGUUCUUGCAUUGUUUCCAUGCCUGCAUUUGGUGUCUUGGCUUUGUUUGCAGAUAAAUAUUUAUCGUCCUUUCAGGUUGGACUUUGGUUUCUGUAUCAAUUCUCUUUUGCUCUGACCCAGGGAAUAUCCUUUAGAUUUUCUGCUGGAGAAUGCUGCAUUUUUUCCUCUCUCUGUGAAGCACCUUUGAAAGAAAUCAUUCUUUGGAUGUGCUUCUUGAAUGUGUAUUGUUAAGGUGAUAGACAAACAACCUUGUUAUGAAAAAGAAAAUUUUUAUAAUUUAAA
Molecule: RNA transcript, 1714 nt
Organism: Hevea brasiliensis (rubber tree)
Lineage: Eukaryota; Viridiplantae; Streptophyta; Magnoliopsida; Malpighiales; Euphorbiaceae
Gene name: glycine-rich RNA-binding protein RZ1A
Exons: 5
Source: RefSeq, a predicted model, not a curated record